Molecule: ribosomal RNA, 497 nt
Filed under: uncultured bacterium
Lineage: Bacteria
Description: partial 16S ribosomal RNA
Rfam family: Bacterial small subunit ribosomal RNA
Source: RNAcentral
GAUGAACGCUGGCGGCGUGCCUAAUACAUGCAAGUCGAACGAACGGACGAGAAGCUUGCUUCUCUGAUGUUAGCGGCGGACGGGUGAGUAACACGUGGAUAACCUACCUAUAAGACUGGGAUAACUUCGGGAAACCGGAGCUAAUACCGGAUAAUAUUUUGAACCGCAUGGUUCAAAAGUGAAAGACGGUCUUGCUGUCACUUAUAGAUGGAUCCGCGCUGCAUUAGCUAGUUGGUAAGGUAACGGCUUACCAAGGCAACGAUGCAUUGCCGACCUGAGAGGGUGAUCGGCCACACUGGAACUGAGACACGGUCCAGACUCCUACGGGAGGCAGCAGUAGGGAAUCUUCCGCAAUGGGCGAAAGCCUGACGGAGCAACGCCGCGUGAGUGAUGAAGGUCUUCGGAUCGUAAAACUCUGUUAUUAGGGAAGAACAUAUGUGUAAGUAACUGUGCACAUCUUGACGGUACCUAAUCAGAAAGCCACGGCUAACUACGUG